This 402-nucleotide ribosomal RNA is filed under the name bacterium. Its description in RNAcentral is "partial 16S ribosomal RNA". It matches the Rfam family "Bacterial small subunit ribosomal RNA", at positions 355 to 776 of the family's 1533-position model. The record is from RNAcentral.
UGGGGAAUUUUGCACAAUGGGGGAAACCCUGAUGCAGCGACGCCGCGUGAUUUAGAAGGCCGUCGGGUUGUAAAAAUCUUUUCUAUGGGAAGAAAAUGACAGUACCAUAGGAAUAAGGACCGGCUAAUUACGUGCCAGCAGCCGCGGUAAUACGUAAGGUCCGAGCGUUGUCCGGAAUCAUUGGGCGUAAAGGGUACGUAGGCGGGUAAGCAAGUUAGAAGUGAAAUCCUAUAGCUCAACUAUAGUAAGCUUUUAAAACUGCUCAUCUUGAGGUAUGGAAGGGAAAGUGGAAUUCCUAGUGUAGCGGUGAAAUGCGCAGAUAUUAGGAGGAAUACCGGUGGCGAAGGCGACUUUCUGGCCAUAACCUGACGCUGAGGUACGAAAGCGUGGGUAGCAAACAGG